ACUAAAUUAGAGAUGGAGCUGGACCAACAAACCACUGAGCUUGCUUCAAGUACAGGUGUUCCAGGUGCAGUCUUUGGAUACUGAUGAAGAUUUACUGCCCUACAAGAUCUUCCUCAACUGCAUAGUCUGGAGCAAAGGAUGCAACAGAGCUCGGAUUGCAAGCAAAAACUGGGCGGAUGUGCUUGACUGCACUUGGCGCAUAUUGAAGAGGGUGAUUGCUAAUUCCCUGGCAAAGAACCUCAAUUGGAGAGGAGUCAAUGGAAAGACUUCACUGGCCACUCUCCAACUUGGAGAGGUCAUGAUUGAAACCUCUUCACAGCUAAUGCUGCAGAGAUGGAGGUUGAGGGGACCAUGAAGAGGUGG
Long non-coding RNA from Ictalurus punctatus (channel catfish), 363 nucleotides. RefSeq lists it as uncharacterized. The transcript has 3 exons. The record is from RefSeq and is a predicted model, not a curated record. NCBI's taxonomy places the organism in Eukaryota, Metazoa, Chordata, Actinopteri, Siluriformes, Ictaluridae.